GCUGGUAUAGCUCAGUUGGUAGAGCGCACCCUUGGUAAGGGUGAGGUCCCCAGUUCAAAUCUGGUACUAGCA
This is a non-coding RNA of Vibrio sp. JCM 19236, 72 nucleotides long. Lineage: Bacteria; Pseudomonadati; Pseudomonadota; Gammaproteobacteria; Vibrionales; Vibrionaceae. The record is from Rfam.